This 318-nucleotide unclassified non-coding RNA is filed under the name plant metagenome. RNAcentral describes it as "partial contains 5.8S ribosomal RNA, internal transcribed spacer 2, and large subunit ribosomal RNA". The stretch from base 1 to 105 matches the Rfam family "5.8S ribosomal RNA", at positions 50 to 154 of the family's 154-position model. The record is from RNAcentral.
GAAAUGCGAUAAGUAAUGUGAAUUGCAGAAUUCAGUGAAUCAUCGAAUCUUUGAACGCACAUUGCGCCCGCCAGAAUUCUGGCGGGCAUGCCUGUUCGAGCGUCAUUUCAACCCUCGAGCUCCCCUUGCGGGGGGAGCCCGGCGUUGGGGACGCGGCGCCUACAGCGCCGGCCCCGAAAUGGAGUGGCGGCCCGUCCGCGGCGACCUCUGCGUAGUAACAUCCACUCGCACCGGGACCCGGGCGCGGCCACGCCGUAAAACACCCCACCUUCCGAAUGUUGACCUCGAAUCAGGUAGGAAUACCCGCUGAACUUAAGC